GUCGGAGUGAGACCUCCUGCCGUCUUUAGCAUCUCCGCUCGGAGGCGGAAGCCGGAAGUGUAGUUUUGUUGUCAGCAACAGUUGCUGUUUGUGUGUUUAACGCUGUUAGUUUGUGUCCCUGUGAGUUCGGGUCUGGCUUCUGUCCUGAUCCGGUUUUAAACUCGGUGAACUUCAGUUUCUUCAGGGACUCUGAGGGUUGAACGGUCCGUCCGAGGACCCGGAUGAAGCAGGAGCGGGAAGUUUAAACCAGCUGAGCUUAGCACGCGGCUAACAGCUAGCUAACAGUCAAUAAAAGGACUUUAUCAGAACCGGAUCAACAGAACCGCCAGAAUGCGGCCUCAGCCGGGAUCCGGGUCCGACAGGCCGCCGGGUUCAUCCGCUGAACCCAGUCCGGAUCAGUCCUCCUGCAGCUCGGACACCGGGGACGUUUUAAUCCGCUCCACUCGGGCUCUCCUUUCGGGUCGGAGACCUGAAGCCGGACCAGGACCCGGAUCGGUCCAGAUAACCGUCCAGAAGCUGCCGGAACCUCCGAACCAGCGUCCUGUGGCCGAACAGAGGCCGCAGAGCUCCGGGACAGAGACGCAACAGCCGAAGCCCCGACACAAGCCGGACAAGGGGCUCCGUCUGCGGGCAGCAGCGCGCCCUGAGCCCGGUAAGAGCUCCGACACACGGACACUGAAGAACCCGGGACCUGCUGGACCUGCUGGACCUGCUGGACCUGCUGGACCGACCAAAGAGAACAGAGCGCCCGCAGGAAGACAGCCUCCUGCAGCCGAGUGGAGCCCAGACAGGAAGCUCUCGGCUGGAGCACCGAGCGACCGGCAGCCUGGUCACGACCUUCUGACGUCACGCUUUGCUGCAGGAGGUCGAGGAGUCGUGCUCGCCGCUCUGAAACAACGCUCUCACAGCGCCCCCCACAGGAGGGAGGUCAGAGUGCAGCUGUUGGACCCGGGGCCGCUCCGGACCAGCUCUCAGGAUGCUUCAGGUCCCACGCCCAGCUCCCAGGAUGCACUGGGUGUGACGGAUGUCCAGACGCAGGUGGGGCCGUCCUCUGGUUGCCCUGGAGACGCCACCAACGCCGCAGCAGCUGCUGCAGCUGCAGCUGUAACCGCUGCUGCUCCUCUCAUCAAGGCUCAGUCAGAGAUGGAGGCUCGUGUGUCUCACCUGGCUGCAGGUGUGCAGGAGCUGCUGCAGGCUGGCAGGGAGGGCGGGGACAGGGGGCGGAGCCUGAGUCAGCAGACGCUGCAUCACCUGGAGACGCUGCACAGCCAACAGCUGCAGCUGCAGAGCCAGCUGCUGGAGUCGGCCCUCAGGAUAGCGGCGGGCCACGCCCCUGUGGCGCCUGCGACCUCUGACCUCACGGCUUCAGGUCAGCCGCCCCGUCUGCAGGUCACUCACCUGGACGCUGCAGCAGAUGUCCUUAGCAACCAGCAGCAAAGCUCCUCGGCAACCACAGCCGCCGCCACCGAGGAGACGUACCCAGUUGCUAUGACAACUGCCCAGCAAACCAGAGAUGCACGGCAUUCCAGAGGUCCCGGCGUUUCCCCGGGACCCCAGCCAGCGGCGUCUGCCAAUCACAGUCAGGCGGUGGCGAGGAGAGCCAAUGAGAUGCUGAGGGAGAUGGGACGUUUGAAGAGCGAGAUGAAGAUGCUGCUGACGCAGCCAGAAGACUCUCUGAACACCACCAGACCUGGACCAGACCACAACCAAGCCCAACAAAACUUACUUCAGUCCCAGCAAUCCCACUCCCAACGCAACCAUCCCAAAUCCUUCCAGCCCAGGUCCCAACAAACUGAACCCCAGCAGUCCCAGACACAACCCAGGUCCCAGCAGUCCCAGACACAACCCAGGUCCCAGCAGUCCCACUAUCAAUCUAAACCAGUCCAGCUCCAUCAAAGCCCUUUCCAACAAACCCAGUCCCAGCAGUCCCAGUCCGUACUGGUCCAGAGGAGGCCUGUGGUUCCGUCUGUGUUGGAGGAGGCGGGUCAGGUUCUCCGUCAGGUUCGGAGACAGAAGAAGGUUCUGGAGGAGAACCUGGAGGCUCUGCUGAGAGCCAGAACCGGAGAGGUCCUGCACUGCCAGCUGGAGGCGCUGGCUGCUAACAGGGACGGGACCGAGGAGGUCCGGAUCAAGAAGACCGUGGACGCCUGGAUCAGCUCCUUAACCAAAGACAUCCAGGCUGAGCUGUCCUCAGAUGUUCCCUGCAGAGCUGCAGACUCUGUCAGACGCUCAGCCAGCAGAGACGCUGCGGUGACAUCACAGCAGAGGGCUGCUGGGAGCUCCGCCCACAGGGGCAGGGGGAGGCCAGUGAGCGCGCCCAGAGCAACAGGAAGUAAGACUGCGGCGGGACGAGGAGAAAGAGGACGGACAGCCGGACGCAGACAGGGGGCGGAGCCUGACAGAGACUCAGGUGGGCGGACAGACAGCGACCCUGCGAUGGACGGAGUGUCGUACCUGACUCGUCUGUACGGCAGAGCCCCGUAUGAAGGUCUGAGACGGACCCUGAAGAAGAGUCCGUACCUUCGCUUCAGCUCACCUGGCUCACCGCCCGGCAGGAAGUCCCGCCCCCGGCUGGUGGAGAGCGUCAGAGGUGUGAAGCUGAAGUCCUGUAAGACUCAGACGUGUUUGGCUCCUCCCCUCAGUCUGUCACCUGGACGACCUCAGCACCAUUACAUCAUCAGCUCCUCCCACCUGACCUCUGGUGACCCCGUUGACCUGACGGUGACCCCUGCAGACAGUCACUCUGUUCCCGUGGCGAUCCCACUGGGUCGUCGCAGGAUGGACUCUUCUUCCAGGCGCCUCACUGAACAUCAACAGGAAGUGACAUCACCACCCACAGCUCCUCCCACAACUAGUGCGGUUGCCGUGGAUGACAGAACAUCUGAGCUACAGUCACAAGAGGCGGAGCAGCUGGACGCAGGUGAGGCUCCUCCUCCGUCACACACUGUUGACAUCAUCGAGCGGAGGAGUGACGAAGAGGAGGACGAAGAGGAGGACGAAGAGGACGUCUUCCCUGGAGCCGACUUCCUGUCUGUCACUGAUGUUGUCCAGCAGGAGGAGGUGAGUGUGGUCGGGGAGGAGGCUGUGGAGUUGGAUGGAGGUCCGUCUCCCCCUCCGGUCCUGUAUCAGGGUCCGGUCUUCCCUCCCCAGGCCCGCUCUGCCCUCCCUGCCCAGGAUCAGGCCUCCGUCCUGGGCCUCGACCUGCGAAGAGACGCCCUGGAGAACCGGCUGGUGGAAUGGGUGGAGCAGCAGCUGAUGUCCAGGAUGAUCUCAGAGAUGUGCCGCCCCCCUCCAUCUGACCCCGCCCAGAACGACUCCACUGACCGAUCAGAGCCCGAGGAGCGAAGCGUCACCUCAGACAUCGUGGAGGCAGCAGGAGGUGCAGGUCUGCAGCUGUUUGUAGACUCCAACAUGUCGGUGGACUCGGCUCUGAUCCGGCAGCUGGUGAAUGAGGUUCUGACAGAGCACGUGGCCCGGAUGCUGGGACACAGAGACACACUGGAGACAGGACCAGCACCCGAACAGGAGCAGCCCAGACCAGGUCCAGGAGCCAAUCAGGAGGAGAAACUGGUACCACUGGUUCCUACACCGGUACCAACCCCUCCACCCAGCCUGACCCCGCCCAGCAGAGAGACUCUGCCACGCCUGACCACACCCCCUCCCUCUGAACCAACCAGCCUGCUGCACGAGGAGUCUCCUCAGCCAAUCACAGCAGCAGAGCCUGUGACCACGCCCACCUCCAGCCCAGAGCCCUCCCUCUCUCCAGGAAGUCCUCCUGCUGUUCAUCAGGCCCCGCCCCCUCUCAACUGGGGAGACGCUGAGCUGCCAUUGGACGAGGAGAGACCAGAGGAACACCUGGAUACACACGCACAGCCGCUGGUGAUGUCAGUAGCAGAGGAGGAGCCUCCUCCCUUCUCCCCUCUUCCUUGUCCUUCUCCCUCCGCCCCUGCUGCUCCCUCCCCGUCUCCUCCUCCUCCUCCGGGUCCGGCGUCCCCGUCCAGCUCCUCAGGGGACUCCAGCAGCUCCAGCAGCAGCAGCAGCAGCAGCAGCAGCAGCGCGGUGACGGCCGGGACAGAAGCUGCACUCAAACACAUCUCAGAGGGAGAACUGCUCAUCAGUGUCAACCAGCUGGCUGCCACCACAGAGGAGGCGGCGGUCUGCAGUUUCUCCAGCUCCCUCCAGGAGCUGCAGGAGAUGGACUUUGACCCCCCCAGUGAAGGACAGGUCAGAGGUCACGACCUCCUGCUGACCCUGCUGACCAAGAUGGAGCAGGGAGUCACACACAGAGGAGAGAGACCACAGCCGGAGGGCGCCUGGGGGAGGGAUCAGGAGGAGGAGGAGGAGGUCAGCGUGGGAGAGGUGAGAGACGAUCAGACUACAAAUCCCAACACUUACAGCAAGAGUACAGCAGCCCAGCGGGGUCAGACCUCCUCACCUGGACAGAUCAGUCAGUGUGCAGAUGUGUCUGAAGUCAGUUUUGAAGCGACGAAUCAGGGCUCGGUCACCGUGGGCGACCUGAUGGUGGAUCCAAUCGGGACUCUGACCUCUGACCUGCAGACCGACCUGUCGCUGUCUCCUCCCCCACACCUGGAGAACCCACACACUGCAGUCCUGGUCCGGCAGUACGACCCACAGACAGCUGGAACCAGGAUGGAUGUUCAUCUGCCCUCCAUCAGACCGGAGGAGGAGGAGGAGGAGGAGGUUAGCGCAGCAGCAGAUCCAGACUCCUCCACCAACGAUGUUUUCUAGAGGGAAACUGAGGCCAGACGUCCGUCCAUCAACAUCUUCGUCUUUAUUUGAUUCAGUUCUGAACUGGUUGAUGAGUUUCACAGCUGAGGAGAAAUUUAUCUUCAUCCUCCUCUUUAACAGCAAACACGUCUUUCUUUCCACUGAAGUCUGUUUGAUGAGGCUUCCUGUGACCUUUGACCUCUGUCCACCCGGUCAGCUGCCUGAAGCCUGAAUAAAUGGUUUUAAUAAACUUUGACCUUCUCUGACUUCUUCUGCUGUCUCCUUGCUGGUGGUGUUUCUCAGAGUCAGUGUUUCUGUAGCUUUUCUUCUCAGGAGAAACUUCACCACGUCCCUCCUGGAGGGGUUUUACUAACCGCUCUGCUCUCAUCGCUCCGACGCCGGCUGACUUCUGCAGGAGGGAAACAAACAGGUUUCAUCCUCGAUGAACGCGUUAGAAAUGAUGGAAAGGUAAAUGUAAACCAGACUUCUUACUUCUUUACCUGAAGAGGUCGUGUUGAGCUCAUUUUCAGGUUCCUCAUUUGAUUUGGAGCAGAGCAGGUUUACACCAGAUCUCUGCUGCAGCUCCUCUUUUCACUCUGCAUGUUGAAGCAUCUCACUUCUAGUAGAUCUUGGUUGGGAGCUACCCUUCACCGUCCGGAUGAGACGCCCUGUGUAGACCGAAAGCGCUAGGUAGCUAGCUAUGUUAGUGUAAAAGGCGUUGACAGCUUCCCAAAGCAGGCAGAUCUGCGGUGACCUCCUUUGACUGACAGAACCACUUCUGAGCAUGUGCAGAGCGGAUCAGGCCGGCGGUACGGAUUGGGCACUGACAGUUCCUCUCUCUGCCUCUCUGUGACUUCCUUUUCUGAUUAUCUGAUCAGCUGAGUUUACUGAUCAGGUCAGCAGCUGACAGUGAAUGUGGAGAGCGCCCUCUGCUGGACCACAAGGUAAACUACUUCAAACCCGUGUUCUGACUGGAAACACUUUAAUAUUAUAUUUUUCUCACGUUUGAACAAACCUUUGAAUAAAAAUUGGUGGCAGCCCUGCUGCAGACACUUAGUCCAUAAAUGUAGUUUUACUGUUUUCUGACAUUUUAUAAAUUAAACAAGUCACGUCUUUUUUUUGUUAAUUGAUAAUAAGUGAGCAGACCAGUGGUUCCCAAAGAGACUCGUCGUCAGCACGAGUCUGUCAGAUGCUUUGUGAUGUGAAGAGGAAACUCCUUUAACACUCAGUGUGUGUGUGUGUGUGUUAAUGGUGUUGAUUGACAGGUGGCCUCAGAGCGCUCUGCAGGCACUGACGAGGUCACACUAAACCCAAACACCGCUCUGAUUGACAGCCGUCAGUCACACUGAAGGGUCCUGUCUCAUUCACCUCAUUGCUGCUUUUAUUCCCCAACCAUCACUAAUCAAUACAUCAGGGACAAACCUCAUGAUCACACUCUGACAUCAUCACGUCUCUGUUUCUUCCAGAUGUGUCUCAAGUCAGUUUUGAAGAGACCAAUCAGGGCUCGGUUACCGUGGAUCCAGUCGGUACUCUGACCUCAGACCUGCAGACCGACCUGUCGCUGUCUCCUCCCCCACACCUGGAGAACACACACAUACUGCAGUCCUGGUCCGACAGUACGACCCAAAGACAGGUAGGGAGCUCACAGUUUGAAGUGGGGCUGAGGACCCGUCCACAUACUUUUGGCCACAUGGUGAGUGAAUGUUAAUCCUAGGCUGUCCACCAGAGGGCGCCGUGUCUGCAGCGUUCACUGUGAAACAGCUGUGCUGAGGACACACAGUCCUCUUCUGUCUGUCUCCCAGUCAGCUGUACUGGGUCCACUGGUCUGUCUUUGUGUUUUAUUCAGAUCAAUAACUGAUCAGAUCAAAUCAGCUGUUCCUACUGUAAACACUGCAGGAGGAGGAACAACGAGAGCUGAGUGUAGAGCAGGAAGCAUCAGCACACUGACUGCUGUUUAAUUAUACAUAGAAACACACAAACACACAGGAAGCUGCUGUCACUCUCUGAUUAGUAAUGUGCGGUUUUUAUUUCUACUUUUUCCCACAAACCGGGAGGAAAAUCCAAAAUACACAUAACCUGUAACAGAUAUUAAUAAAUAUACGACUAUGUUGCACUAUUAUUAUUUUCACUGUGGACUAAACUACCAACUCUUUCUGCAUUAACAGAUAAGAAUGUUCUAACAUGUUGAUGAUAAUCAGAUACAUAUAACAGGAGAUCGUCUGCAAACAAAUUUACGUGCUGCACGUUUUUAGCCAGCAGCUUCUGCAGCUGGACAGGUGAAAGGUGUCAGGUGACCACCCGGACCAGUUUUCACCACUGCAGAGUCCCAGGUUCUGGUUCUGUUCAUCAGGUGAUCACUGUGUGUUGAUCAGUUUCUGGGAUGAAGUCAGACAUGGCAGGUUUGAUGCUGAAUCAAGCUUUAUUCAAAAUGAACAUGCAGCACAAUAACAGGUCUUUGCUUUGACUUUU
Molecule: RNA transcript, 7197 nt
Organism: Micropterus salmoides (largemouth bass)
Lineage: Eukaryota; Metazoa; Chordata; Actinopteri; Centrarchiformes; Centrarchidae
Gene name: KIAA0586 ortholog
Exons: 29
Source: RefSeq, a predicted model, not a curated record